This 492-nucleotide ribosomal RNA is filed under the name uncultured bacterium. Its description in RNAcentral is "partial 16S ribosomal RNA". It matches the Rfam family "Bacterial small subunit ribosomal RNA", at positions 29 to 507 of the family's 1533-position model. The record is from RNAcentral.
AGUGAACGCUGGCGGUAGGCCUAACACAUGCAAGUCGAACGGCAGCACAGUAAGAGCUUGCUCUUACGGGUGGCGAGUGGCGGACGGGUGAGGAAUACAUCGGAAUCUACUUUUUCGUGGGGGAUAACGUAGGGAAACUUACGCUAAUACCGCAUACGACCUACGGGUGAAAGCAGGGGAUCUUCGGACCUUGCGCGAUUGAAUGAGCCGAUGUCGGAUUAGCUAGUUGGCGGGGUAAAGGCCCACCAAGGCGACGAUCCGUAGCUGGUCUGAGAGGAUGAUCAGCCACACUGGAACUGAGACACGGUCCAGACUCCUACGGGAGGAAGCAGUGGGGAAUAUUGGACAAUGGGCGCAAGCCUGAUCCAGCCAUACCGCGUGGGUGCAGAAGGCCUUCGGCUUGUAAAGCCCUUUUGUUGGGAAAGAAAAGCAGCAGGUUAAUACCCCGCUGUUCUGACGGUACCCAAAGAAUAAGCACCGGCUAACUUCGUG